RNAcentral lists this unclassified non-coding RNA (86 nucleotides) under Pseudomonas synxantha. Lineage: Bacteria; Pseudomonadati; Pseudomonadota; Gammaproteobacteria; Pseudomonadales; Pseudomonadaceae. The record is from RNAcentral.
GUGGGAGGGGGCUUGCUCCCGAUAGCAGCUUGUCAGCCAAUGAAGUGUGACUGAUGCACCGCCAUCGGGAGCAAGCCCCCUCCCAC